CGGCGUGCUUAUACAUGCAAGUCGAACGAAGACAGUAGCAAUAUUGUCUGAGUGGCGAACGGGUGAGUAACGCGUUGGUGACCUGCCUCGAAGAGAGGGAUAACAGUCCGAAAGGAUUGCUAAUACCCCAUGUGGUCGUUUGGAUUAGAUGCCUUAUGACUAAACGGAUUUAUUCGCUUCAAGAGGGGCCUGCGUCCCAUCAGCUAGUUGGUAAGGUAAUGGCCUACCAAGGCGAUGACGGGUAGGGGACCUGAGAGGGUGGCCCCCCACAAUGGAACUGAAACACGGUCCAUACACCUACGGGUGGCAGCAGUAGGGAAUAUUGGUUAAUCUGGGAAACCGGGAACCAGCAACGCCGCGUGCACGAUGAAGGCCUUCGGGUUGUAAAGUGCUUUUUGAAAGGAUGAGGAAGGACAGUACUUUCAGAAUAAGCUUCGGCUAACUACGUGCCAGCAGCCGCGGUAAAACGUAGGAAGCGAGCGUUAUCCGGAUUUACUGGGCGUAAAGCGUGUGUAGGCGGUUUGACAAGUUGGA
This 534-nucleotide ribosomal RNA is filed under the name uncultured bacterium. Its description in RNAcentral is "bacterial SSU rRNA". It matches the Rfam family "Bacterial small subunit ribosomal RNA", at positions 40 to 592 of the family's 1533-position model. The record is from RNAcentral.